This 759-nucleotide ribosomal RNA is filed under the name uncultured Prevotella sp. Its description in RNAcentral is "bacterial SSU rRNA". It matches the Rfam family "Bacterial small subunit ribosomal RNA", at positions 28 to 776 of the family's 1533-position model. Lineage: Bacteria; Pseudomonadati; Bacteroidota; Bacteroidia; Bacteroidales; Prevotellaceae. The record is from RNAcentral.
GAUGAACGCUAGCUACAGGCUUAACACAUGCAAGUCGAGGGGAAACGACAUUGAAGCUUGCUUCGAUGGGCGUCGACCGGCGCACGGGUGAGUAACGCGUAUCCAACCUGCCUCUGACUAAGGGGUAACCCGGCGAAAGUCGGACUAAUACCUUAUGAGGUUUUCAGCAGACAUCUAAUGAAAACGAAAGAUCUAUCGGUCAGUGAUGGGGAUGCGUCUGAUUAGCUUGUUGGCGGGGUAACGGCCCACCAAGGCAACGAUCAGUAGGGGUUCUGAGAGGAAGGUCCCCCACAUUGGAACUGAGACACGGUCCAAACUCCUACGGGAGGCAGCAGUGAGGAAUAUUGGUCAAUGGGCGAGAGCCUGAACCAGCCAAGUAGCGUGCAGGAUGACGGCCCUAUGGGUUGUAAACUGCUUUUAUGUGGGGAUAAAGUGAGCUACGUGUAGUUUAUUGCAGGUACCACAUGAAUAAGGACCGGCUAAUUCCGUGCCAGCAGCCGCGGUAAUACGGAAGGUCCAGGCGUUAUCCGGAUUUAUUGGGUUUAAAGGGAGCGUAGGCCGUGGAUUAAGCGUGUUGUGAAAUGUAGACGCUCAACGUCUGAAUUGCAGCGCGAACUGGUUCACUUGAGUAUGCACAACGUAGGCGGAAUUCGUCGUGUAGCGGUGAAAUGCUUAGAUAUGACGAAGAACUCCGAUUGCGAAGGCAGCUUACGGGAGCACAACUGACGCUGAAGCUCGAAGGUGCGGGUAUCAAACAGG